CGUGGUUUGCACCACGCUAUCUUGCGGAACAACACAGAGAAGAUUAGCAUGGCCCCUGCGCAAGGAUGACAUGUUAACUUGAGAGGUGCUGGGAUGUAGAUCCCAGUUUUU
This is a small nuclear RNA of Vavraia culicis subsp. floridensis, 111 nucleotides long. The record is from Rfam. NCBI's taxonomy places the organism in Eukaryota, Fungi, Microsporidia, Pleistophoridae.